RNAcentral lists this unclassified non-coding RNA (453 nucleotides) under Chamaecrista mucronata. RNAcentral's name for it is "partial external transcribed spacer". Lineage: Eukaryota; Viridiplantae; Streptophyta; Magnoliopsida; Fabales; Fabaceae. The record is from RNAcentral.
CUCCGUGCUCGCGCAUCGAACGGUUGGCGCUCUAUCCACCUCAGUCCCGUGACCCCCGGCGCCGCAAGGCCUGAGGGGAGUGAGUGAGUGCCGCCAUCGUUGCCCGUGUUGCAUACCCGACCGUCUCCCCGUCCUCGGAAGGGGAAGGGGAAAGGAUCGGCCUGUGACAUCGUCCCACGUCCGUCCGGCGCCUCGCAAGGGGCUUGCCGGAGGACCAAGAAGUAGCUCCCGCGAUCCACCCGCGUCGAUCCGGUCGGCGAGUUUGGCCCGCGGGACGCUGUUGCUCUCUCGGAUGCGGUGCAUGCCGAGGACUGCCGGGGGCACUGUUCCCCGCACGUCCCGAACGAACGAUUCGACCCGACUCGAUUCUCCAGAGAGACGCUCGCGCCCGGCGCACCCGUGGGCCGGCGCGCGAGACGUCGCGGAGGGUUGCUACCUGGUUGAUCCUGCCAG